This 415-nucleotide ribosomal RNA is filed under the name uncultured crenarchaeote. RNAcentral's name for it is "partial 16S ribosomal RNA". It matches the Rfam family "Archaeal small subunit ribosomal RNA", at positions 330 to 747 of the family's 1478-position model. The record is from RNAcentral. Lineage: Archaea; Thermoproteati; Thermoproteota.
GCGCAGCAGUUGCGAAAACUUGUCAAUGCACGAAAGUGUGAACGGGCUACCCCGAGUGCCGUCCGCUGAGGAUGGCUUUUCUCCGGUGUAGUAAGCCGGAGGAAUAAGGAGAGGGCAAGUCUGGUGUCAGCCGCCGCGGUAAUACCAGCUCUCCGAGUGGUAGGGACGAUUAUUGGGCCUAAAGCGUCCGUAGCCGGCCAAGCAAGUUUCCCGUUAAAUCCAGCGAUCCAAUCGUUGGACUGCGGGAAAUACUGUUUGGCUAGGGGGCGAGAGAGGCCAACGGUAUUCCCGGGGUAGGGGUGAAAUCCCAUAAUCCCGGGAGGACCACCAGUGGCGAAGGCGUUCUGCGAGAACGGGCUCGACGGUGAGGGACGAAAGCCAGGGGCGCAAACGGGAUUAGAUACCCCCGUAGUCC